This is a non-coding RNA of Paramuricea clavata, 292 nucleotides long. Lineage: Eukaryota; Metazoa; Cnidaria; Anthozoa; Malacalcyonacea; Plexauridae. The record is from the annotation of a GenBank genome assembly.
GUCGCUGUUCAUGUUUGUAUAAUUUUUGGUAGUUAAUAAUUACGUUGACUUGUAGUGAGUUUAUGUAAUCAAGUAAUUUUAUUAGUGUAUAUCUAUAGGCUACCUGCAUAUAUAGCUCUAUACGUAAAGCAUACUAAAGACACAGUUUUGCUAAUAAUUCAUUUUACGCAGAAAUGGAAAUGAAAACGAAACGUUAUCGUGGGGUUUUGGCUCUCAUGAGAGCAUGCAAAUACGGGGCCGUACUUCCUUGCAAUGACAGCUUCUGAUAAGAAACAAUUGUAUGAGUGGUUCA